Long non-coding RNA from Eucalyptus grandis, 773 nucleotides. RefSeq lists it as uncharacterized. The transcript is spliced from 2 exons. Lineage: Eukaryota; Viridiplantae; Streptophyta; Magnoliopsida; Myrtales; Myrtaceae. The record is from RefSeq and is a predicted model, not a curated record.
UUCUUUUUCUUUGAUUUUCUCGUUUGUUAGGAAGCUCCUUCCUUUUCCUCCACCAUAGCCAAACUUCCAACCCCAUCGAUACGACACCAGUGAGCUGUGACGAAAUGGAAGAUCGCCACCUGCCAUCGGAGGUGACGAACAGAGGAAGAAGAAGUUCCUCUUACUGAAACGGAGUCCCUAGCGAACCCGACGGCCAGCGGAGGCAACGGACUGCCACCGCCAAACGAAGCCAUGGAAUUCCAUUGCUUCGGGUGAACGAUUCUCUGCUGAGGUUCGUUCUGGGCUUCGUGCAGCUUGCUAUAGAUUAGGCAACAAGGCAUGGAGAGACGGAAGCUCUUGAUGUUUUUAUUGAAGAGAGGAUUGGAUUUUCGUCUGCAGAAGUUGCAGAGAAGUUUUCAGCAUGCUCCCUUUAUGUGACAUGUGAAUCCUGCAUAAUGUGUGCAGCAGCAAAAUCAAUAAUUGGUACAUCUGUUGGUCAUAUUGAAAUAAAACUAAAAUUUCGUCAAGUUUGUUAAUUCAAAUGUGAUUAGAUGGCUCUAAGCCAUUUUUAGGUAUGAAGGAAGUAUAUUAUGGCUGUACAAAUGAUAAAUUUGGAGGCUGUGGCUCAAUACUGUCAUUUUAUUCAUGUAGCUCUGAGGUAUGCAAUAGGUCAGUUUUGGAACUUGCUUUUGUUAAUAAUUUCAUAUCUAUUUGGCCCCACUUUCAAAUUGUGACAUCUGUCAAUUGACAACUAAAGUUUACUGGAGGUUUAUAUGACUUCUAUUGUUGAUUAA